Molecule: non-coding RNA, 329 nt
Organism: Macaca mulatta (Rhesus monkey)
Lineage: Eukaryota; Metazoa; Chordata; Mammalia; Primates; Cercopithecidae
Source: RefSeq, a predicted model, not a curated record
AUUAAACAUAUGCGUGUGUGUGUGUGUCCUGAAGAGCACAACUGAAAUAAAUGUACAUCCCCAAACCACCACCAACCAACCAACCCCCCUCACCCCUAGAGAGGGGAUCGUCACCCUCCCUAUAAGCAAAGCAUCGGAGGAUAAAAUGGCUGCAAGGCAAGGCAAAGAUGCUUCUGCCAGAGGCGGGGUGGAGUAAUCUGGAUUCAGAGAUCCAAGACAUGCCACUUGGUGACACUUGAUGACCAUCCCUGCCGAAGGAGUGAGAGGAAAUGCGACCUCACUUCUCAUAAAACAAAUCAAGACCAAACUUCAGAGAGUACAUCUCGAUG